UAGGGAAUAUUGGUAAUCUGGGAAACCGGGAACCAGCAACGCCGCGUGCGCGAUGAAGGCCUUCGGGUUGUAAAGCGCUUUUUGAGAGGAUGAGGAAGGACAGUACUCUUAGAAUAAGCCUCGGCUAACUACGUGCCAGCAGCCGCGGUAAAACGUAGGAGGCGAGCGUUAUCCGGAUUUACUGGGCGUAAAGCGUGGGUAGGCGGUUUGAUAAGUUGGAUGUGAAAUCUCCUGGCGUAACUGGGAGAUGUCGUUCAAAA
RNAcentral lists this ribosomal RNA (260 nucleotides) under uncultured prokaryote. Its description in RNAcentral is "partial 16S ribosomal RNA". It matches the Rfam family "Bacterial small subunit ribosomal RNA", at positions 355 to 632 of the family's 1533-position model. The record is from RNAcentral.